This 467-nucleotide ribosomal RNA is filed under the name uncultured delta proteobacterium. RNAcentral describes it as "bacterial SSU rRNA". It matches the Rfam family "Bacterial small subunit ribosomal RNA", at positions 35 to 476 of the family's 1533-position model. Lineage: Bacteria; Deltaproteobacteria. The record is from RNAcentral.
GCUGGCGGCGUACUUAACACAUGCAAGUCGAACGCGAAAGUUUUCUUCGGAAAGCGAGUAGAGUGGCGCACGGGUGAGUAACGCGUAAAUAAUCUACCCUUAUAUUUGGGAUAACAUCGGGAAACUGGUGCUAAUACCGGAUACGCUCUGGGAUACGCGAGUAUCUUAGAGGAAGGGAGACCUCUCCUUGGAAGUUUCCGUAUAGGGAUGAGUUUGCGUACCAUUAGCUAGUAGGUGGGGUAAAGGCCUACCUAGGCGACGAUGGUUAGCGGGUCUGAGAGGAUGAUCCGCCACACUGGAACUGGAACACGGACCAGACUCCUACGGGAGGCAGCAGUGAGGAAUAUUGCGCAAUGGGGGAAACCCUGACGCAGUGACGCCGCGUGAGUGAAGAAGGUCUUCGGGUCGUAAAGCUCUGUCAGGUGGGAAGAAGUGCUAGUAGGUUAAUACCCUGGUAGUUUGACGGU